AGUGUAUUUUGUAGACUUAUGUUACGGCCAUAAGGUUUGGAGCUUAUAGCACCAUACACUU
Molecule: transfer RNA, 61 nt
Filed under: Moniezia expansa (sheep tapeworm)
Lineage: Eukaryota; Metazoa; Platyhelminthes; Cestoda; Cyclophyllidea; Anoplocephalidae
Description: tRNA-Arg
Source: RNAcentral